This is a long non-coding RNA of Aethina tumida (small hive beetle), 1403 nucleotides long. RefSeq lists it as uncharacterized. NCBI's taxonomy places the organism in Eukaryota, Metazoa, Arthropoda, Insecta, Coleoptera, Nitidulidae. The transcript has 6 exons. The record is from RefSeq and is a predicted model, not a curated record.
ACCCCCCUACAACAAGGGACAACCUGAUGAUUACCACUAUGUCGUGUUUGGAAGGUCUGUUUCAACAUCACUUCAUUGAAAAUCAUCAGUAACCCCCAACACCACCAUAAACCCCCAGUUUACUGAUUUUCUUGUCCCAGACACUGAUUUCACCUUCUCCAACCCAAUCCAAGGUGUGAAGAUCCCCUAUGGUAUGGAGAUUGCUAUAGAUCUUCUCCUGACUGUCCUCAAAGUCACUUCUUUAUAUAUUAGGCAGACGAAACGUUUUUAUUGCGUUAGAAGGUUGAACAAGAGGAAAGUUAGAAGAAUGUUCUGGAUUGGAAGGUCUAACUCCAGACACUGAUUUCACCUUCUCCAACAAGCUCCAAGGUAUGAAGAUCCCCUAUGGUAUAGAGAUUGUUAUAGAUCUCCUCAUGACUGUCUCUAAAGUCGCUUCUCUAUAUAUUAGACAGACGAAACGUUUUUAUUGCGUCAGAAGGCUGAACAAGAGGAAAGUUAGAAGAAUGUUAUGAGCAUGGGAAUUCAGACCUAAGAAGAAAAAUAGGUCCCAAUGUUUGUAUAGAAAUUAUAAAGAAAUUCAACUGUACAAAAAAGAACGCGUGAACGAUAAUUAUACCGAGAAAUGGGAACAAACUUGCCAGUAGUUAUUGAUACGAAGUGGAUAUUUCCAAACCAUUUACUUCACAACCAGACAUGACGAAUUGUGAUGAAUUCUACGACAAACGAUUGAUGGACUUGUCUACACACCCCUACAACAAGGAACGACAUGAUAAUUAACACUAUGUUGUGACUGGAAGGUCUGACUCAACACCACUUCAUUAAAAAACAUCAACGCUGAUUUCACCUUCUCCAACGUGAUCCAAGGAAUGAAGAUCCCCUAUGGUACGGAGAUUGUUAUCGAUCUCCUCCUAACUGUCCCCAAAGUCGCUUCUCUAAAUAUUAGACAGAUGAAACGUUUUUAUUGCGUUAGAAGGUUGAACAAGAGGAAAGUUAGAAGAAUGUUCUGAGCAUGGGAAUUCAGACCUAAGAAGAAAAGGAGGUGCCAAUGUAAUUUCCAAACCAUUUACUUUACAACCAGACAUGACGAAUUGUGAUGAAUUCUACGACAAACGAUUGAUGGACUUGUCUACACACCCCUACAACAAGGAACGACGUGAUAAUUAUGACUAUGUUGUGAUUGGGAGGUCUGACUCAACAUCACUUCAUUAAAAAUCAUUAACGCUGAUUUCACCUUUUCCAACAUGAUCCGAGGUACGAAGAUCCUCUACGGUACGGCAAAGACUAUUUUAAUACACAAUGUUAUUUUGUUUCUAUUUUAUAAAUAUUCUUUAUUUAUUUCGAUUCUGUUUGCUGUUCAUUCUAUUAACACUAAUUAUUUUAUAUCUAGAAUUGUUAAAAAUUAA